AUGGGAACGCGAAGAACCUUACCUAGACUUGACAUCUCCUGAAUAGUGUAGAGAUACAUGAAGCCCUUCGGGGCGAGGAAGACAGGUGGUGCAUGGUUGUCGUCAGCUCGUGUCGUGAGAUGUUGGGUUAAGUCCCGCAACGAGCGCAACCCUUAUUACUAGUUGCUACCAUUAAGUUGAGCACUCUAGUGAGACUGCCCGGGGUUAACCGGGAGGAAGGCGGGGAGUGACGUCAAAUCAUCAUGCCCCUUAUGUCUAGGGCAACACACGUGCUACAAUGGUGAGUACAGAUAGAUGCGAUACCGCAAGGUGGAGCCAAACUCUAAAACUCAUCCCAGUUCGGAUUGUAGGCUGCAACUCGCCUACAUGAAGUUGGAGUUGCUAGUAAUCGCGAAUCAGAAUGUCGCGGUGAAUACGUUCCCGGGUCUUGUACACA
RNAcentral lists this ribosomal RNA (436 nucleotides) under uncultured bacterium. Its description in RNAcentral is "bacterial SSU rRNA". It matches the Rfam family "Bacterial small subunit ribosomal RNA", at positions 954 to 1389 of the family's 1533-position model. The record is from RNAcentral.